CCUACGGGAGGCUGCAGUGGGGGAUAUUGCACAAUGGGGGGAACCCUGAUGCAGCGACGCCGCGUGGGUGAAGAAGCGCCUCGGCGCGUAAAGCCCUGUCAGCAGGGAAGAAAAUGACGGUACCUGAAGAAGAAGCCCCGGCUAACUACGUGCCAGCAGCCGCGGUAAUACGUAGGGGGCAAGCGUUAUCCGGAUUUACUGGGUGUAAAGGGGGCGCAGACGGCGAUGCAAGCCAGGAGUGAAAGCCCGGGGCCCAACCCCGGGACUGCUCUUGGAACUGCGUGGCUGGAGUGCAGGAGGGGCAGGCGGAAUUCCUAGUGUAGCGGUGGAAUGCGUAGAUAUUAGGAGGAACAUCAGUGGCGAAGGCGACUUUCUGGACUGUAACUGACGCUGAGGCACGAAAGUGUGGGGAGCAAACAGGAUUAGAUACCCCUGUAGUC
RNAcentral lists this ribosomal RNA (440 nucleotides) under uncultured bacterium. RNAcentral's name for it is "partial 16S ribosomal RNA". It matches the Rfam family "Bacterial small subunit ribosomal RNA", at positions 338 to 795 of the family's 1533-position model. The record is from RNAcentral.